RNAcentral lists this ribosomal RNA (253 nucleotides) under uncultured prokaryote. RNAcentral describes it as "partial 16S ribosomal RNA". It matches the Rfam family "Bacterial small subunit ribosomal RNA", at positions 524 to 776 of the family's 1533-position model. The record is from RNAcentral.
UACGAAGGGGGCUAGCGUUGCUCGGAAUUACUGGGCGUAAAGCGCACGUAGGCGGCUUUCUAAGUCGGGGGUGAAAUCCUGGAGCUCAACUCCAGAACUGCCUUCGAUACUGGAGAGCUUGAGUUCGGGAGAGGUGAGUGGAACUGCGAGUGUAGAGGUGAAAUUCGUAGAUAUUCGCAAGAACACCAGUGGCGAAGGCGGCUCACUGGCCCGAUACUGACGCUGAGGUGCGAAAGCGUGGGGAGCGAACGGG